Molecule: ribosomal RNA, 393 nt
Filed under: uncultured bacterium
Lineage: Bacteria
Description: partial 16S ribosomal RNA
Rfam family: Bacterial small subunit ribosomal RNA
Source: RNAcentral
CUACGGAGGAUGCAAGCGUUAUCCGGAUUUAUUGGGUUUAAAGGGUGCGUAGGCGGGACUGUAAGUCAGGGGUGAAAUACUGCAGCUUAACUGUAGCAUUGCCUUUGAAACUGCCGUUCUUGAGUACAGUUGAGGUAGGCGGAAUGUGGUGUGUAGCGGUGAAAUGCAUAGAUAUACCACAGAACGCCGAUUGCGAAGGCAGCUUACUAAGCUGUUACUGACGCUGAGGCACGAAAGCGUGGGGAUCAAACAGGAUUAGAUACCCUGGUAGUCCACGCUGUAAACGAUGAUUACUGGUUGUUAGCGAUAUAUAGCUAGUGACUGAGCGAAAGCAUUAAGUAAUCCACCUGGGGAGUACGUCGGCAACGAUGAAACUCAAAGGAAUUGACGGGG